UGGGGAAUAUUGCACAAUGGGCGCAAGCCUGAUGCAGCCAUGCCGCGUGUAUGAAGAAGGCCUUCGGGUUGUAAAGUACUUUCAGCGAGGAGGAAGGCGUUGUGGUUAAUAACCGCAACGAUUGACGUUACUCGCAGAAGAAGCACCGGCUAACUCCGUGCCAGCAGCCGCGGUAAUACGGAGGGUGCAAGCGUUAAUCGGAAUUACUGGGCGUAAAGCGCACGCAGGCGGUCUGUCAAGUCGGAUGUGAAAUCCCCGGGCUCAACCUGGGAACUGCAUCCGAAACUGGCAGGCUAGAGUCUUGUAGAGGGGGGUAGAAUUCCAGGUGUAGCGGUGAAAUGCGUAGAGAUUUGGAGGAAUACCGGUGGCGAAGGCGGCCCCCUGGACAAAGACUGACGCUCAGGUGCGAAAGCGUGGGGAGCAAACA
This 427-nucleotide ribosomal RNA is filed under the name uncultured bacterium. Its description in RNAcentral is "partial 16S ribosomal RNA". It matches the Rfam family "Bacterial small subunit ribosomal RNA", at positions 355 to 774 of the family's 1533-position model. The record is from RNAcentral.